AGAGGAGGAACCCACUUUUACCGGAGGCUCCAUAUUCUACGGCCCAGGGAUUUCCAGGAAAAUCAAACCUGCUUGGCUGGCGUCCCAGGAAAAGAAGUGGGCAGAGGCUUUGCGACCCUCACUCACUCGGCAACAAUCAAGGAAUCUCCAAGGGACCCAGUUCCCAUCCCCCUGGAGACAGUGCCAGGGGCGAUGUGUCUGCAGCCCACCUCUCCCUCCAUGAAGACAGGCUGCCAUUGUUGUCACCGAAGCCAUGACUCCAAUGGGGAAGUGAUCUGCACUUUUACUCAGCCUGAGAGAGAAGUUGCCCCAAUUACUUCAGCAUGGCUUCCAAGAGGAGACCUUGGCUAUGACUCUCAUGAGCACCAAGUCCAGCGCGGGCUCUAUCUUCUGCAUCUUUCAUGCAUUUUCAGAGUCUAAAUGCUGCGCCAAGUGGCCAGCACUUCCCAACCAAGAGGGUGAAAGGGAUCCAUGACCACCAGGUUGGUACUGAAGGCACCUCAGUCUCCUGGGUCCAUCCUGAUCUACCCUGGGGACUCCCAUCAGCUUAUUGUCUAGGACCAUUUUCAGUGCAAAACCCAAGUACAAGCACCAGCCCCGACUUUUGUUUUACAGAGACCAUCAUAAUUAUAUUUGCUUCAAUAGGCAUCCUUCAUUGAGCCCUUACUACAUGCCAAAAACUUCACAUGCAUGAUUUCAUCUCAUGUUCAUAACCACCUUAAGAGGGGAGUAUUAUUAUUUUCCCCAGUUCGUAGAUUAGGGAAACUGAGUCCAAGCAAGGAUAAAUUACUUGCCAGAGGUCAAACAUCUAAGAAGUGGUGGAGUCUGGAUUUGAACUUGGUUCUCUCUGACAUUAAGGUCAAUGCUUUGCUCUGCUGCCCCUGUGAUGCUGCUUGCUGGUGCCCUGUCCUCCAGUGGGACGAAAGUGAAUGUGACUAUGGGGCAGCCCUCAGCUCCUCCAUUUCAGAACCUGUAGAAGUGGAGUGGCCCUGGGGCUGUCCUUUAGGGAGGGACAGGUCUCUGUGGCUAGUGUUUCUCUGGGCCCAGCCUACAUGAUUCCCACGCAGCUUCCUCAAUCAGACGCUCCUAGGCCUCUUCUCUUCAGUCUUCAAAUGGUAAUAAAUCAAUCCCCCGUGGAUCCUGUUUCCCUUGAAUUCCAAGCACAUAUGUCGAAAAGGAAUCGCAAAUGAAGGAUGAGCUCUGUGGACUCUGGCAGCGUCUGUGUAUGUGAGAGGCUCAGAAAACGAUGUCUUUGGGUAUGUGGGGUCGUUUUACAUACAUGUAAAUUUGAACGUACUGCCUGGAUGCUUAUACCUACUAACUCUCACCUUUUGUGAACCUGAAAGAUUGAAAUAAAGAAAAGAAAACCAGAGAAUGGAUUAACACUUGAUUUGAUUUAUUCCUUAGUAAAAUCUAUGUGAAGAUCCAAAAAAUGAGCUUGAUCUUAAAAUCAGCAUCCAUAUCCUUCCAUCUGAUAGAUCCCAAAGUUUCCAACCUUCCACCUCUUGGCUUAAUUUUUCUGAUGUCUGUUCUAAGUUUGG
RNAcentral lists this long non-coding RNA (1541 nucleotides) under Homo sapiens (human). RNAcentral's name for it is "HSALNT0394603". The record is from RNAcentral. Lineage: Eukaryota; Metazoa; Chordata; Mammalia; Primates; Hominidae.